RNAcentral lists this ribosomal RNA (253 nucleotides) under uncultured bacterium. RNAcentral describes it as "partial 16S ribosomal RNA". It matches the Rfam family "Bacterial small subunit ribosomal RNA", at positions 524 to 776 of the family's 1533-position model. The record is from RNAcentral.
UACGGGGGGGGCAAGCGUUGUUCGGAAUUACUGGGCGUAAAGGGCGCGUAGGCGGCCUUCUAAGUCGGACGUGAAAUCCCUCGGCUUAACCGAGGAACUGCGUCCGAUACUGAAAGGCUUGAAUCCGGGAGAGGGAUGUGGAAUUCCAGGUGUAGCGGUGAAAUGCGUAGAUAUCUGGAGGAACACCGGUGGCGAAGGCGGCAUCCUGGACCGGUAUUGACGCUGAGGCGCGAAAGCUAGGGGAGCAAACAGG